GACGAACGCUGGCGGCGUGCUUAAUACAUGCAAGUCAACUGAACUUAAGAUAGCAAUAUUUUAAGGGAGGUGGCGCACGGGUGAGUAACACGUAGGUAAUCUGCCUUUAGGUCUGACACAACCCCGAGAAAUCGGGGCUAAUAUCAGAUGAUGCAGCGGCUCGACAUCGAGACAGUUGUUAAACCUUCGGGGCCUAAAGAUGAGCCUGCGUCUGAUUAGGUAGUUGGCGGAGUAAAAGCCCACCAAGCCUGCGAUCAGUAGCUGGUCUGAGAGGAUGAUCAGCCACACUGGAACUGAGACACGGUCCAGACUCCUACGGGAGGCAGCAGUAAGGAAUAUUGCUCAAUGGCCGAAAGGCUGAAGCAGCAACGCCGCGUGGAGGAUGAAAUACUUUUGUAUGUAAACUCCUGUAAGAAGGGAAAAUAUUCCGAUUUAUCGGGAUUGAUUGUACCUUCAGAGUAAGCCCCGGCUAACUACGUGCC
This 482-nucleotide ribosomal RNA is filed under the name uncultured bacterium. RNAcentral's name for it is "bacterial SSU rRNA". It matches the Rfam family "Bacterial small subunit ribosomal RNA", at positions 28 to 509 of the family's 1533-position model. The record is from RNAcentral.